UUUAGGCGAGACUAGAGCAAGACCUUACGCACCUCACAACCAACUAAAUAUCAAUCUCCUUUCCUCUCUAAGUCCCUUAUUAGUCCCCAAAAAUCCCUUCCUUGUAUAAGAAAAAAUAAACCUUAUAUCAGAAAAUUAUCCUUAUAAUAUUUUGAAGAAAUUUGAGUGAAUAUCAAUGUUUGAAGUAUUAUUCAAGAAAUCAUGUGAGAAAGAUGAGUUUAUAGAAAUUUGUAAGAGAAUGGAGGCCAAACUAGAAUUAAAUUGGAGCUAAAGGACCAUGCUUAAAUGUCUAAGGAGGUGCAGCUGGAGUGCUUGGAUCGUCUACCAUGAUUGGAAGCUUCAAAUAAGGAAAGAAAUCAAAGAAGCAGAAUCUGAAAAGGAAAAAUCUGAUUUGAGCACUGAUCAGUAUUUUGGGCGUAUCUCUCUCCUCAAAAAUCCAAUUGACACAAGGCCAGAUGGGUUGGAACCGUGAUUUAAAUAUCUACAACUUUCCAGUUUUGAGUUUUUCGAAAUUCUCAAUUUUUAAUGGCCAAAAUUAACUCAUAAGUUACUGCUGUAAACCUGGACGGAAAUUAAAAUAGUAAAUGUUUUAUUUUCUUUGGACACUUAGACAUUAGGGUUUUGAAGGGAGGCUGUGGAGAACGAAUUUUGGAGAGAAAACCUUGUAUUUUCCUUUCUCUAAUGGCAGCCUAAACUCUUUGCUAGGGCUAGGGGUUAUAUUUCUUCUAUACAGUAUGGAUAUUCAAUGUGAUUCUUUCUAGGAUUUUAUUAAUAACAUAUUUGAUUGUUCAAUUAGAUUUCUUUUGAUGUAUUAGUUCUUCCAUGCUUUCAAUAAGUUCAAUCAUGUUUUUCUUAUUGUUU
This is a long non-coding RNA of Quercus robur (English oak), 861 nucleotides long. RefSeq lists it as uncharacterized. NCBI's taxonomy places the organism in Eukaryota, Viridiplantae, Streptophyta, Magnoliopsida, Fagales, Fagaceae. The record is from RefSeq and is a predicted model, not a curated record. The transcript has 2 exons.